GCACAUGCUCAAAGAUGACAAUUACAUCGACCAUUACAUCUUUAGGAAGAGCCGGAAAAGGUAUGGCUAGCAUCGACAUAUGCUAUGCCGUCGCUGCUUAUAAACUGGUCUCUGAAGAGCUUUGCCUU
RNAcentral lists this small nucleolar RNA (128 nucleotides) under Plenodomus lingam JN3. RNAcentral describes it as "a. fumigatus snoRNA Afu_198". It matches the Rfam family "A. fumigatus snoRNA Afu_198". The record is from RNAcentral. Lineage: Eukaryota; Fungi; Ascomycota; Dothideomycetes; Pleosporales; Leptosphaeriaceae.